CCUACGGGAGGCAGCAGUGGGGAAUAUUGGACAAUGGGCGAAAGCCUGAUCCAGCCAUGCCGCGUGUGUGAAGAAGGCCUUCGGGUUGUAAAGCACUUUCAGUGGGGAAGAAAGCCUUGGGGCUAAUACCCUCGAGGAAGGACAUCACCCACAGAAGAAGCACCGGCUAACUCCGUGCCAGCAGCCGCGGUAAUACGGAGGGUGCGAGCGUUAAUCGGAAUUACUGGGCGUAAAGCGCGCGUAGGCGGUCUGAUAAGCCGGUUGUGAAAGCCCCGGGCUCAACCUGGGAACGGCAUCCGGAACUGUCAGGCUAGGGUGCAGGAGAGGAAGGUAGAAUUCCCGGUGUAGCGGUGAAAUGCGUAGAGAUCGGGAGGAAUACCAGUGGCGAAGGCGGCCUUCUGGACUGACACUGACGCUGAGGUGCGAAAGCGUGGGUAGCAAACAGGAUUAGAUACCUGGUAGUC
RNAcentral lists this ribosomal RNA (464 nucleotides) under Vreelandella stevensii. RNAcentral describes it as "partial 16S ribosomal RNA". It matches the Rfam family "Bacterial small subunit ribosomal RNA", at positions 338 to 795 of the family's 1533-position model. The record is from RNAcentral. Lineage: Bacteria; Pseudomonadati; Pseudomonadota; Gammaproteobacteria; Oceanospirillales; Halomonadaceae.